AUACGGAGGGUGCAAGCGUUAAUCGGAAUUACUGGGCGUAAAGCGCACGUAGGCGGAUUAAAAAGUUAGAGGUGAAAUCCCAGGGCUUAACCCUGGAACUGCCUUUAAAACUAGUAGUCUAGAGAUCGAGAGAGGUGAGUGGAAUUCCAAGUGUAGAGGUGAAAUUCGUAGAUAUUUGGAGGAACACCAGUGGCGAAGGCGGCUCACUGGCUCGAUACUGACGCUGAGGUGCGAAAGCGUGGGGAGCAAACAGGAUUAGAUACCCCAGUAGUCC
RNAcentral lists this ribosomal RNA (274 nucleotides) under uncultured bacterium. RNAcentral describes it as "partial 16S ribosomal RNA". It matches the Rfam family "Bacterial small subunit ribosomal RNA", at positions 523 to 796 of the family's 1533-position model. The record is from RNAcentral.